Molecule: ribosomal RNA, 158 nt
Filed under: Acacia tephrina
Lineage: Eukaryota; Viridiplantae; Streptophyta; Magnoliopsida; Fabales; Fabaceae
Description: 5.8S ribosomal RNA
Rfam family: 5.8S ribosomal RNA
About the family: 5.8S ribosomal RNA (5.8S rRNA) is a component of the large subunit of the eukaryotic ribosome. It is transcribed by RNA polymerase I as part of the 45S precursor that also contains 18S and 28S rRNA.
Source: RNAcentral
GACUCUCGGCAACGGAUAUCUCGGCUCUCGCAUCGAUGAAGAACGUAGCGAAAUGCGAUACUUGGUGUGAAUUGCAGAAUCCCGUGAACCAUCGAGUCUUUGAACGCAAGUUGCGCCCGAAGCCGUCAGGCCGAGGGCACGCCUGCCUGGGCGUCACC